This 499-nucleotide ribosomal RNA is filed under the name uncultured bacterium. RNAcentral describes it as "partial 16S ribosomal RNA". It matches the Rfam family "Bacterial small subunit ribosomal RNA", at positions 30 to 523 of the family's 1533-position model. The record is from RNAcentral.
AUUGAACGCUGGCGGAAUGCUUUACACAUGCAAGUCGAACGGCAGCACGGACUUCGGUCUGGUGGCGAGUGGCGAACGGGUGAGUAACAUAUCGGAACGUAUCCAAUAAUGGGGGAUAACGAGUCGAAAGAUUCGCUAAUACCGCAUAGGCCCUACGGGGGAAAGCUGGGGACCUUCGGGCCUGGCGUUAAUGGAGCGGCCGAUAUCUGAUUAGCUAGUUGGUGAGGGAAAGGCUCACCAAGGCGACGAUCAGUAGCUGGUCUGAGAGGACGACCAGCCACACUGGAACGGAGACACGGUCCAGACUCCUACGGGAGGCAGCAGUGGGGAAUUUGGACAAUGGGCGCAAGCCUGAUCCAGCCAUUCCGCGUGAGUGAAGAAGGCCUUCGGGUUGUAAAGCUCUUUCGCAAGGGAAGAAAACUUAGCCACUAACAUUGGUUGAGGUUGACGGUACCUUGAUAAGAAGCACCGGCUAACUACGUGCCAGCCGCCGCAGUAA